Molecule: transfer RNA, 71 nt
Filed under: Marmota monax (woodchuck)
Lineage: Eukaryota; Metazoa; Chordata; Mammalia; Rodentia; Sciuridae
Rfam family: tRNA
About the family: Transfer RNA (tRNA) molecules are approximately 80 nucleotides in length. Their secondary structure includes four short double-helical elements and three loops (D, anti-codon, and T loops).
Source: Rfam by way of RNAcentral
GCGGUUGUGGCCCUGUGGUAGAGCGCUCGCCUAACAUGCGUGAAGCCCUGGGUUCGAUACUCAGCACCACA